GACGAACCACACAAACGUUAUUCGGAAUCACUGGGCUUAAAGGGUGCGUAGGCUGCGCGGAAAGUUGGGUGUGAAAUCCCCUGGCUCAACCAGGGAAUAGCGCCCAAAACUACCGUGCUCGAGGGAGACAGAGGUGAGCGGAACUUCGGGUGGAGCGGUGAAAUGCGUUGAUAUCCGAAGGAACACCGGUGGCGAAAGCGGCUCACUGGGUCUCUUCUGACGCUGAGGCACGAAAGCUAGGGGAGCAAACGGG
Molecule: unclassified non-coding RNA, 253 nt
Filed under: uncultured Pirellulaceae bacterium
Lineage: Bacteria; Pseudomonadati; Planctomycetota; Planctomycetia; Pirellulales; Pirellulaceae
Description: contains 16S-23S intergenic spacer region
Rfam family: Bacterial small subunit ribosomal RNA
Source: RNAcentral